RNAcentral lists this ribosomal RNA (301 nucleotides) under uncultured bacterium. RNAcentral describes it as "partial 16S ribosomal RNA". It matches the Rfam family "Bacterial small subunit ribosomal RNA", at positions 509 to 808 of the family's 1533-position model. The record is from RNAcentral.
CAGCAGCCACGGUAAUACGUAGGUCCCGAGCGUUGUCCGGAUUUAUUGGGCGUAAAGCGAGCGCAGGCGGUUAGAUAAGUCUGAAGUUAAAGGCUGUGGCUUAACCAUAGUACGCUUUGGAAACUGUUUAACUUGAGUGCAAGAGGGGAGAGUGGAAUUCCAUGUGUAGCGGUGAAAUGCGUAGAUAUAUGGAGGAACACCGGUGGCGAAAGCGGCUCUCUGGCUUGUAACUGACGCUGAGGCUCAAAAGCGUGGGGAGCAAACAGGAUUAGAUACCCGAGUAGUCCCUGUCUCUUAUACA